CUACGUGCCAGCAGCCGCGGUAAUACGUAGGGUGCAAGCGUUAAUCGGAAUUACUGGGCGUAAAGAGUGCGUAGGCGGUUUUGCAAGACCGAUGUGAAAUCCCCGGGCUUAACCUGGGAACUGCAUUGGUGACUGCAAGGCUAGAGUGUGUCAGAGGGAGGUGGAAUUCCGCAUGUAGCAGUGAAAUGCGUAGAUAUGCGGAGGAACACCGAUGGCGAAGGCAGCCUCCUGGGAUAACACUGACGCUCAUGCACGAAAGCGUGGGGAGCAAACAGGAUUAGAUACCCUGGUAGUCCACGCCCUAAACGAUGUCAAUUAGCUGUUGGGCAACUUGAUUGCUUAGUAGCGUAGCUAACGCGUGAAAUUGACCGCCUGGGGAGUACGGUCGCAAGAUUAAAACUCAAAGGAAUUGACGGGGACCCGCACAAGCGGUGGAUGAUGUGGAUUAAUUCGAUGCAACGCGAAGAACCUUACCUGGUCUUGACAU
Molecule: ribosomal RNA, 487 nt
Filed under: uncultured bacterium
Lineage: Bacteria
Description: bacterial SSU rRNA
Rfam family: Bacterial small subunit ribosomal RNA
Source: RNAcentral